UACAGAGCAGCUCUCUGAACACCCAUCACUGCUUUAGAAACAAAGCCGCCAAUUUAUAAAUGAUUAUGACCUACAUUUUAUAGGGAAAAUGUUUUUAAUGCUAGUCAUUUAUAUAAUGUGCUUUGAAGGAUUUGCUAGCCCACUCCUGUCACUUUUAGUACACUGGGACCUUUUCUAUGUAAUGUUUGCCUUUUAUUAUUGUAGCAAAGCACUUCAGUAGAAAGAAUUUUGCAACAAUAUGGGGGAAAUUUUUCAUUGUCGGGUUUGAAUUAUACUGGAUUUUAUCUGUCUAGUCUUACUUGUUUUUAUUUUAAUGCUGUCUGGAAGGGACCUUGGUACCCAAAUAAAGCAGGUUAACCUCAUUGCUUCAAGGGCAUACUGUGUAGUGCUGAGUUUCACCUGGGAAUCUGAUGACUUUGAAAAGAAAAACACGUUUAUAAAAAUUGUACAGACGAAAUUAAAUGUAUGACGGAAAUCCCGACGGUGGAGCGCGUUGGAUUUUCUGAGACAUAGUGUUAUUUUCCUGGAGUCCCUUAUGCCUUCUUUGUAUUCCAACCAAUAAAAGAAAACCUUGUUGUUGAAAGCGGUAGGCUGCUAGGAUAUUCUGAUUAUUCAGUAUUGCUUUCCCUGUCCUGGUCUCUGGCCCCUCUCAAUCGCUGUAAACUUUUGUUUCCUACUUCCUAUUGCUAAUUAAACAUGUACAUAAUGGAGAGGCUGUGUAUAGAACUGAAUGAAUUGGGUUGCUGUGCUUGAAUGGGUAGCUACAUGGAAAUAUUGGAUGGAUACGGAGAAUUCCUAAGAUGCCAGAGUAAAUUUACGUGGGAAGGGGUGUCUUCUCCUGGGAAGGCCGCAGCAGAUGGUCCCUGCACCCCAAGGGGGUCAGCGGAAGAAUCAGCUGCAAACUGCGUGUCAGGCACGCGGGGCCUCCCUUCCCUUCCCUUACAAUACGAGCACUAAAGUUCAGAAGUCUACUCAGGUGAAAUUCUUUGCAGUGAAACUUAACCACAUUGAAAUUUUCACUGCUAAAUGCUAUAUUUGUGAUAUUUUUAAAUACAAACUUUUACACUGCAGUCAGCAGCCUAAUGAUUGAAAUUUAGCCAAGAUAUUUUAAAAUAAUAGUUAUCCUCCAUGUAUAAUUGUUUUUAAACAAUUGGGAGGAUUUUCUGUUGAAAAAUUUUUUUAUCAUUGUUUUAAAAAAAAAAAAAA
RNAcentral lists this long non-coding RNA (1206 nucleotides) under Rattus norvegicus (Norway rat). RNAcentral's name for it is "long non-coding RNA NONRATT007054". Lineage: Eukaryota; Metazoa; Chordata; Mammalia; Rodentia; Muridae. The record is from RNAcentral.